Molecule: ribosomal RNA, 289 nt
Filed under: uncultured Leptotrichia sp.
Lineage: Bacteria; Fusobacteriati; Fusobacteriota; Fusobacteriia; Fusobacteriales; Leptotrichiaceae
Description: partial 16S ribosomal RNA
Source: RNAcentral
CUACAGGGGUAUCUAAUCCUGUUUGCUCCCCUAGCUUUCGCACUUCAGCGUCAGUUACCGUCCAGUGAACUAUCUUCAUCAUCGGCAUUCCUGCACAUAUCUACGAAUUUCACCUCUACUCGUGCAGUUCCGUCCACCUCUCCAGUACUCUAGCCACAUAGUUUCCAGGGCAGGCUUGCGGUUGAGCCGCAAGUUUUCACCCCAGACUUAUCUGGCCGCCUAGAUGCCCUUUAUGCCCAAUAAUUCCGGAUAACGCUUGCGACAUACGUAUUACCGCGGCUGCUGGCAC